RNAcentral lists this ribosomal RNA (460 nucleotides) under uncultured bacterium. RNAcentral's name for it is "partial 16S ribosomal RNA". It matches the Rfam family "Bacterial small subunit ribosomal RNA", at positions 338 to 795 of the family's 1533-position model. The record is from RNAcentral.
CCUACGGGAGGCAGCAGUGAGGAAUAUUGGUCAAUGGCCGAGAGGCUGAACCAGCCAAGUCGCGUGAGGGAAGACGGCCCUACGGGUUGUAAACCUCUUUUGUCGGGGAGCAAAGCGAACCACGUGUGGUUCAUUGAGAGUACCCGAAGAAAAAGCAUCGGCUAACUCCGUGCCAGCAGCCGCGGUAAUACGGAGGAUUCAAGCGUUAUCCGGAUUUAUUGGGUUUAAAGGGUGUGUAGGCGGUCGGAUAAGUUAGAGGUGAAAUCCCGAGGCUCAACUUCGGAAUUGCCUCUGAUACUGUUCGGCUAGAGAGUAGUUGCGGUAGGCGGAAUGUAUGGUGUAGCGGUGAAAUGCAUAGAUAUUACACAGAACACCGAUUGCGAAGGCAGCUUGCUAGGCCGGAUCUGACACUGAUGCACGAAAGCGUGGGGAUCGAACAGGAUUAGAUACCCUGGUAGUC